AUUUCUAGUAAUCAUUUCAGCAGAAUUGAUCACAUGCUCUGCCGAGGAAUUUCAAAUCCGCUUUAUGUUCGGACUACUGAAUAAUGACCACUUCCUCUACAGUGAAGAUCCAUAAUCUCACAACAUAAACUAAUAUUUAAAUUUCUUUUUAGAAAAAAGCAAUUUUUUAAUAGGCAACAGUAUAAGGUAUAUUUAAUAACAUAAAUGGCGGCAGGAAUAAUUUUUUAUAAAAACUAGGACAUUUCUUUUUCAUGUUACAUCUGUGGGAACCCAUCAUUUGUGUGGUUGUUGUUGAGUGUGUAUGUUACAUUAAUUGUAACAUAGCAUUGCCUACAUCUGUUACUUUAAAAAUUAUAAUCAAGCUAAGAUUAGUGAUACCAUCUCUCUGGUUCAAACUUUCUUUACAGUACAAAAACCAAUCUCUCUUAUGUCCUCCCUUGGCUCCAUCUAUAACAUCUGCAGAUAAUUUUUACUCUUUUA
RNAcentral lists this long non-coding RNA (480 nucleotides) under Citrus maxima (pomelo). RNAcentral describes it as "long non-coding RNA (CMAX_LNC001211)". Lineage: Eukaryota; Viridiplantae; Streptophyta; Magnoliopsida; Sapindales; Rutaceae. The record is from RNAcentral.